Molecule: long non-coding RNA, 808 nt
Organism: Pocillopora damicornis (cauliflower coral)
Lineage: Eukaryota; Metazoa; Cnidaria; Anthozoa; Scleractinia; Pocilloporidae
Source: RefSeq, a predicted model, not a curated record
CUGGACAUAUAAAUCCCCAUAGUAUUUACAAAAAAACCAGUCAUUUUUAAGUGAAUGGUAUCAUUGUGUGGUGGUGUUAUCUGUGUCUGAAAAGGUAAAUGAGACGAGGUGUUUCCGCACGCACGUUUUCUAGACCCCUUCGCAAGUUCAGCAAUUUGAGGUGAACAGAGGGUACCUCUUUCGCACCUAAAGGUCCGAUCAAAGAAGUAUUCGAGAUGAAAGCAACUAAGCUGGAAGAAGACAUCCGACGCCGCCAAGGUUAUGCCUUGAAUUUACCAAGGCUCUGGUUUCAAAUACCAUAGGAGAAAUCCCAGUUGUGAGAUUUGUACUGAGCGCGCUUUUCGAUGGACUCGUGGAACUAUUUGAAGGAGAUCUCGACCCGAGGACGUAUGCAACAGUUUGGUUGAGGAAAUCAACCGUGAUUUCUCUCUCUUACGAGCCGAGAUAAACAUCAGCGCCCAGAUUAGCGCCCGUUACACAUGCUAAACAAGACGAACCCCAAAGAAUUUCUUAACAUUUGUCCAAUUUACGGACAAAGUGACAAAAGCAAGCUCUAAGUCGUUGUGAUCAAUAACCCACACUUUUACUUCAGCAGAUGUAACAAAACAGGUUUCAGGCUCUCCUCCCCACCUCAUUACUUUCUACGUAAUGUCGCCAAAAAUUACCAGGAAGAGUAAAUGGCAAAAGAAAUCUAAAGAGUAAUUCAUGAAAAUUAAAAAAACAAAUUUUUCUUUUUAAUCCUUUAUUUAAAUCGCACUAAAUCUUUCCUCCAACAAACUAUUUUUACAAAGCUAUAACGAGAAACAAA